UGUCAAGAGAUAUAUGGCUGAUAAAUUAGAGGAUAGAUCUAUAAUAGCUUAUUUUAUAGGUCUCGAAAAGAAUUAAUAUGAUACUACUACUUUCUAUAAGAUCACAAUGUGAUUGUGAGUCAGAACGUCAUAUUCCUAGAAAAAUAGUUUAUCCAGGAUGGUGGCAGUGAGAGGUUAGUUAAGCUUGAAGAGGUCUCUGAAUAACAAAGAACUAUGGAUCCUCAGGAACCCAUUAUUUAUAAGCCAGUAGUUGAUGUUCCUCCACCACCUCGUAGAUCUAACAGAGUCUUC
Molecule: long non-coding RNA, 291 nt
Filed under: Elaeis guineensis (African oil palm)
Lineage: Eukaryota; Viridiplantae; Streptophyta; Magnoliopsida; Arecales; Arecaceae
Description: long non-coding RNA (EGUI_LNC046050)
Source: RNAcentral